Long non-coding RNA from Plodia interpunctella (Indianmeal moth), 432 nucleotides. RefSeq lists it as uncharacterized. The record is from RefSeq and is a predicted model, not a curated record. NCBI's taxonomy places the organism in Eukaryota, Metazoa, Arthropoda, Insecta, Lepidoptera, Pyralidae. The transcript is spliced from 2 exons.
CACGAAUCAGCUGUGAGUAGGUAUAUAAACCGUAGCACAAAUUUAACUGACGCGUUCCACAGCCAUUUUGGAUUGUCCCAUCGUAUCCAGGGGACAGACGUAUCAAACAUGUCCGCUCGAGCACUACUAUUGUCCAUUGCGUGCUGUCUCUUUCUAUUUACGCUGAUCGAGACUGACGCCCGGAAACUGAGUCGCUCCUUCUGCGUUAAAGCCCUUAGAUUCGCCAUCAAAGACAUGACAAACACGGACAAAAGAAAGGUCGCCGAUGAGUGCUUCCUCUACUACUCGCCAACCAUAAACAAACGACGUUAUUAUUAUCCAUAUCCCUAUUGGCCUUGGUAUCCUUACUAUGCAUAUUAUUACUAUUGGGGUUAAUGUGUAACACGGGGUAAAUAAACCUAUUUCAAUAAAGACACGUUUUUUUAACUUUCA